GACGAACGCUGGCGGCGUGCUUAACACAUGCAAGUCGAACGGAGAGGCCCGGCUUUUGUGGGGUUCUCGAGUGGCGAACGGGUGAGUAACACGUGAGUAACCUGCCCUUGACUUUGGGAUAACUUCAGGAAACUGGGGCUAAUACCGGAUAUGAGCUCCUGCUGCAUGGUGGGGGUUGGAAAGUUUCGGCGGUUGGGGAUGGACUCGCGGCUUAUCAGUUUGUUGGUGGGGUAGUGGCUUACCAAGGCUUUGACGGGUAGCCGGCCUGAGAGGGUGACCGGCCACAUUGGGACUGAGAUACGGCCCAGACUCCUACGGGAGGCAGCAGUGGGGAAUAUUGCACAAUGGGCGGAAGCCUGAUGCAGCGACGCCGCGUGCGGGAUGACGGCCUUCGGGUUGUAAACCGCUUUCGCCUGUGACGAAGCGUGAGUGACGGUACUGGGUAAAGAAGCACCGGCUAACUACGUG
RNAcentral lists this ribosomal RNA (468 nucleotides) under uncultured bacterium. RNAcentral's name for it is "partial 16S ribosomal RNA". It matches the Rfam family "Bacterial small subunit ribosomal RNA", at positions 28 to 507 of the family's 1533-position model. The record is from RNAcentral.